UUCAAGUUGCUUUCAUUCGAGUUUUUGAGGUCUACCAUGAUGACCUAUUCUUUUUAGGCAACUUUUGGACAAGCUUAUGUUGUGUAACUCUCUACUGUGGUUCAUCCAUGGUGGCUUAUAUGAAGGUCACAUUUAAAGAUAGAGGCUAGGGAAAUUCUUCCAUUCCUUCCCCUCGCUCUAUUCCUUCUAUAGACAACAUCGCUUGAGCCUUAGGUUAGUGGCGUCUCUUACAUCUAAAAUCAGACAAAACUCAAUAGCAUCACUCUCUGGAGAGGCAGCAUUCACUUGAGUGUGAUGCCUUUUCUUCUGAGCAUGAACUGUUAACUUCCACUGCGAAGAGGUUUCUUACCAGAAAAGAAAGUGACAGCAGCUGAGUACCUCACUGUCAGGCCUGGAGCACAUGCCUGCUUAUUCUCCCCAAGGACCAAACCCAGCAUCUUGUCGCCACACUCUGGUGCCUCACAGGAAACCAAUCUAAGUUCCAUAACAACCAGCGAAGGAGAGAGGAACAGAACAAUUGGUGAGAAGAGAGGGUCGCAGUAUGGAAACAUUGAUGGAUCCCAAAACAGGAAUGGAUCAUUAAUAUUUCC
This 590-nucleotide long non-coding RNA is filed under the name Mustela putorius furo (domestic ferret). RNAcentral's name for it is "lncRNA (ENSMPUG00000027067.1)". The record is from RNAcentral. Lineage: Eukaryota; Metazoa; Chordata; Mammalia; Carnivora; Mustelidae.